Molecule: unclassified non-coding RNA, 193 nt
Filed under: plant metagenome
Description: partial contains small subunit ribosomal RNA, internal transcribed spacer 1, and 5.8S ribosomal RNA
Source: RNAcentral
UCUCCGUUGGUGAACCAGCGGAGGGAUCAUCACAGGACUCGCAAGACUCCUUACACCCUGUGAACCUUACUAUAUACGCGUUGCUUCGGCGGGUCCGCCCGCCGGCAGCAUACCACAUUCUGUUUCUCUGCGUUGGCGUCUCGAGAAAAAAGCAAAUAAGUUAAAACUUUCAACAACGGAUCUCUUGGUUCUG